This 331-nucleotide long non-coding RNA is filed under the name Selaginella moellendorffii. RNAcentral describes it as "long non-coding RNA (SMOE_LNC000293)". Lineage: Eukaryota; Viridiplantae; Streptophyta; Lycopodiopsida; Selaginellales; Selaginellaceae. The record is from RNAcentral.
AGCAGCAGUGGCAUAUCUCAGAAGCGAUCUUUCACUCUGGUCGUGGCAUGCACACUCUCGUCCCCGAUUACCUGGAGCACGUCAUAGAGCGUCCAGAAGAAAAAGCUCUUUACCUAUUUCAAUGACUACUCCUAAUCCGUGCCUUUCGACCACCCCGCCACCUAUGGGGGAGCUCAAGCGCAGGAUCAAGGAUGAUCUCCUGGGAUUCAUGGACGGCGAGGCUUACUUCCGGAAGAUCGGUCGAGCAUUGAAGCGGGGAUAUGUCCUCUACGGCCCGCCGGGCACGGGAAAGUCGUUGCUCAUCGCUGCCAUAGCUCACUUCACCAGUUAC